UUGGAGGGCAUUUCUGGAACUUCCAGAACCUGCUGUGGCUGAACCUUGGUAGGUAGGCUUUUCAGAAUAGUACACUGCUCUUGUACUUCUCGAUAGAGACCUUUGCCUUUAACCAUUGACUUCUGAUCAGAGUUAUGCUUCGUGUUGGAACUUGUGAAGCUUGGUGAUCAGAGUCAGAGGGAUGCUUGGAUCCUCUGACCUUCGUAACUUCUGCUUCUGGACCUUCAGAGCUUCUGAACCUUCAGAGCCUCUGGUCCCUCAGAGCUUCUGGUCUUCAGAUCUUCUGAUCCUCAGAUCUUCUGAUCCUCUGAUCUUCUGAUCCUCUGAUCCUCUGAUCUUCAGAUCCUCUGAUCUUCAGAUCCUCUGAUCCUCUGAUCUUCUGAUCCUCUGAUCCUCUGAUCCUCAGAUCCUCUGAUCUUCAGAUCCUCUGAUCCUCAGAUCUUCUGAUCUUCAGAACUUCUGACGAAUAUAUCUUCUGGUGUCAGAAUCAGAACCUGUUUGUCAAAACACUCAAGACAAACAUUAGAGUAUCAUAGUUGUUCAUCCACAAAUAAAUACUUGUUAUCAUCAAAACAUAGAGUUGUACCACAUGACCAAAUCUUGAUCUUACAA
This 612-nucleotide long non-coding RNA is filed under the name Lotus japonicus. RNAcentral describes it as "long non-coding RNA (LJAP_LNC002032)". The record is from RNAcentral. Lineage: Eukaryota; Viridiplantae; Streptophyta; Magnoliopsida; Fabales; Fabaceae.